GACGAACGCUGGCGGCGUGCCUAAUACAUGCAAGUUGAACGCUUCUUUCUUAUCGAACUUCGGUUCACCAAGAAAGAGGAGUAGCGAACGGGUGAGUAACACGUGGGUAACCUGCCCAUCAGCGGGGGAUAGCACUUGGAAACAGGUGCUAAUACCGCAUAAUGCUUUUUCUCACAUGAGAGAAAGCUGAAAGGCGCUUUUGCGUCACUGAUGGAUGGACCCGCGGUGCAUUAGCUAGUUGGUAGGGUAACGGCCUACCAAGGCAACGAUGCAUAGCCGACCUGAGAGGGUGAUCGGCCACACUGGGACUGUAGACACGGCCCAGACUCCUACGGGAGGCAGCAGUAGGGAAUCUUCGGCAAUGGACGAAAGUCUGACCGAGCA
This 384-nucleotide ribosomal RNA is filed under the name Enterococcus italicus. Its description in RNAcentral is "bacterial SSU rRNA". It matches the Rfam family "Bacterial small subunit ribosomal RNA", at positions 28 to 393 of the family's 1533-position model. Lineage: Bacteria; Bacillati; Bacillota; Bacilli; Lactobacillales; Enterococcaceae. The record is from RNAcentral.